GACGAACGCUGUCGGCGUGCUUAACACAUGCAAGUCGAACGGAAAGGCCCUGCUUUUGUGGGGUGCUCGAGUGGCGAACGGGUGAGUAACACGUGAGUAACCUGCCCUUGACUUUGGGAUAACUUCGGGAAACUGGGGCUAAUACCGGAUAGGAGCUCCUGCUGCAUGGUGGGGGUUGGAAAGUUUCGGCGGUUGGGGAUGGACUCGCGGCUUAUCAGCUUGUUGGUGGGGUAGUGGCUUACCAAGGCUUUGACGGGUAGCCGGCCUGAGAGGGUGACCGGCCACAUUGGGACUGAGAUACGGCCCAGACUCCUACGGGAGGCAGCAGUGGGGAAUAUUGCACAAUGGGCGGAAGCCUGAUGCAGCAACGCCGCGUGCGGGAUGACGGCCUUCGGGUUGUAAACCGCUUUCGCCUGUGACGAAGCGUGAGUGACGGUAAUGGGUAAAGAAGCACCGGCUAACUACGUGCCAGCAGCCGCGGUGAUACGUAGGGUGCGAGCGUUGUCCGGAUUUAUUGGGCGUAAAGGGCUCGUAGGUGGUUGAUCGCGUCGGAAGUGUAAUCUUGGGGCUUAACCCUGAGCGUGCUUUCGAUACGGGUUGACUUGAGGAAGGUAGGGGAGAAUGGAAUUCCUGGUGGAGCGGUGGAAUGCGCAGAUAUCAGGAGGAACACCAGUGGCGAAGGCGGUUCUCUGGGCCUUUCCUGACGCUGAGGAGCGAAAGCGUGGGGAGCGAACAGGCUUAGAUACCCUGGUAGUCCACGCUGUAAACGGUGGGUACUAGGUGUGGGGUCCAUUCCACGGGUUCCGUGCCGUAGCUAACGCUUUAAGUACCCCGCCUGGGGAGUACGGCCGCAAGGCUAAAACUCAAAGGAAUUGACGGGGCCCCGCACAAGCGGCGGAGCAUGCGGAUUAAUUCGAUGCAACGCGUAGAACCUUACCUGGGUUUGACAUGGAUCGGGAGUGCUCAGAGAUGGGUGUGCCUCUUUUGGGGUCGGUUCACAGGUGGUGCAUGGCUGUCGUCAGCUCGUGUCGUGAGAUGUUGGGUUAAGUCCCGCAACGAGCGCAACCCUUGUUCACUGUUGCCAGCACGUUAUGGUGGGGACUCAGUGGAGACCGCCGGGGUCAACUCGGAGGAAGGUGGGGAUGACGUCAAGUCAUCAUGCCCCUUAUGUCCAGGGCUUCACGCAUGCUACAAUGGCUGGUACAGAGAGUGGCGAGCCUGUGAGGGUGAGCGAAUCUCGGAAAGCCGGUCUCAGUUCGGAUUGGGGUCUGCAACUCGACCUCAUGAAGUCGGAGUCGCUAGUAAUCGCAGAUCAGCAACGCUGCGGUGAAUACGUUCCCGGGGCU
RNAcentral lists this ribosomal RNA (1346 nucleotides) under uncultured bacterium. Its description in RNAcentral is "partial 16S ribosomal RNA". It matches the Rfam family "Bacterial small subunit ribosomal RNA", at positions 28 to 1381 of the family's 1533-position model. The record is from RNAcentral.